RNAcentral lists this ribosomal RNA (454 nucleotides) under uncultured Allobrachymonas sp. Its description in RNAcentral is "bacterial SSU rRNA". It matches the Rfam family "Bacterial small subunit ribosomal RNA", at positions 924 to 1382 of the family's 1533-position model. The record is from RNAcentral. Lineage: Bacteria; Pseudomonadati; Pseudomonadota; Betaproteobacteria; Burkholderiales; Comamonadaceae.
CACAAGCGGUGGAUGACGUUGGUUUAAUUCGAUGCAACGCGAAAACCUUACCCACCUUUGACAUGGCAGGAAUCCCGAAGAGAUUUGGGAGUGCUCGAAAGAGAACCUGCACACAGGUGCUGCAUGGCUGUCGUCAGCUCGUGUCGUGAGAUGUUGGGUUAAGUCCCGCAACGAGCGCAACCCUUGCCAUUAGUUGCUACGAAAGGGCACUCUAAUGGGACUGCCGGUGACAAACCGGAGGAAGGUGGGGAUGACGUCAAGUCCUCAUGGCCCUUAUAGGUGGGGCUACACACGUCAUACAAUGGCCGGUACAGAGGGUAGCCAACCCGCGAGGGGGAGCCAAUCCCACAAAGCCGGUCGUAGUCCGGAUCGCAGUCUGCAACUCGACUGCGUGAAGUCGGAAUCGCUAGUAAUCGCGGAUCAGCAUGUCGCGGUGAAUACGUUCUCGGGUCUU